UGGGUCCCAAGUAUACAUCUACAUUGAUGGC
Molecule: non-coding RNA, 31 nt
Filed under: Mus musculus (house mouse)
Lineage: Eukaryota; Metazoa; Chordata; Mammalia; Rodentia; Muridae
Source: RNAcentral